CCCUUAGAUGUCCUGGGCCGCACGCGCGCUACACUGAUGCAUUCAACGAGUUUUACCUUGGCCGAGAGGCCUGGGCAAUCUUUUGAACCUGCAUCGUGAUAGGGAUAGAUUAUUGCAAUUAUUAAUCUUGAACGAGGAAUUCCUAGUAAACGCAGAUCAUCAAUCUGCAUUGAUUACGUCCCUGCCCUUUGUACACACCGCCCGUCGCACCUACCGAUUGAAUGGUCCGGUGAAAUCUCGGGACGGCGGCUUGGUCGCUUGCGUCCGACUGCUGAAACUUGAUUAAACCAUAUCAUUUAGAGGAAGGUGAAGUCGUAACA
RNAcentral lists this ribosomal RNA (320 nucleotides) under uncultured eukaryote. RNAcentral's name for it is "partial 18S ribosomal RNA". It matches the Rfam family "Eukaryotic small subunit ribosomal RNA", at positions 1470 to 1796 of the family's 1831-position model. The record is from RNAcentral.